GGUUUAUAUUUUGUUGCUAAUGGCUAAAUCGAAGGAUAUAAGUGCCCAACUGUAUCAACCAUACCAAAUCGUACCAACAAAAUAAAAUAUCAAUAUGACACAAUCCUUAUGCCAAUAGCACAGCUCAAAACUCUCUAUUUUUUAAAUUAGUAAGGAAAUUUCUCAAUAAAGUUUAAAAAAUUUUCUAAGAAUACAAAAUAAACAGUUAGAAUUUUAUUGCUAAAAAAAAAUAAUUCUUUCAUGUCAUUAUAUUGUCGAUACAUAUGUAUCUUUUAUAACUGGCACGUAUCGGCACAAUCCGACACACUGUACCGACAAGUUACCGGCACGAUCCUAUGCUACGGCAUUUAAAUUUUUAGAUAGGACCCACUUUCGAAC
Molecule: long non-coding RNA, 378 nt
Filed under: Ananas comosus (pineapple)
Lineage: Eukaryota; Viridiplantae; Streptophyta; Magnoliopsida; Poales; Bromeliaceae
Description: long non-coding RNA (ACOM_LNC009186)
Source: RNAcentral